AUCUAAUUGUUUUAAUUUUGUUAAAUAAAACAAUGACAACUUACAUUGGAUAGACUCUUCAUGCUGGAGUGAAGAGUGAUGGUAAUAGAUGCUUAAAGGUCUCACGCACAGACCAAUGGUGACAUAAAGGUCGCCAGGCUUAGUAGCACUGACAGCCUGCCGCUGUCACAACAAACACAUCCAUCUUUGAAAAGACUUGUAAUGAGUAUGUGUCUUAGCAUGCUCCUGAAGUACAGUCCGCUUCUCCUUCCCCGAGGAGAAUCAAGACCCCUGAUUGUGGGAACCAAGGACUGCAUUGUAGAUGGAGCCACCUACAAUAGCUGGCCGAAUCCCAGGACCACUCCCAAAUAAGUCAAAAGCACACAGGCUGCAUAGCAGAUGAUUUUUGAACCAAGGUUUUGACCUGCCUGGCAGUGUAAUAUUUACCCCCUCAAACUGAUUACAAAAUCUAUGUUGAGUGCACAGACCUCAACAACAAGGCGCGCAUCCAUGUGAUUGCAAAAUUCAUUUCAUAUCGAAUUAUGCUUCUCCUCUGCAGUCACUUUUCUUUUCAGUACACAACAUGUAAUCCUGUUUGUUUUAUAUUUAAUUUGAAAGUCAAGUUAAUCUGUGAAAUACAUUGAAAAAGCUUGAACCGUCCUUUUUUUAAAAUCACGCUCUUCUAAACUGCUGCUUGUUAUAAAGGGAGUUGAGUUCACUGCCAGCGCUUGUAUCUUGAAUUUGUACUCGCAAGUCAGAGCAAGAAAAGAAAUUGUCCAAACAAUGGCUGCUCUCUUGAAAAGAUAGUAAGUUGGGUCAAUCGUAUCUCAAGGUGCAGUCCAAACUAUUGGCGUCACCUCUCAGUAUGAAACGUUUCCCUAAUGGUGCGAAAUUAUUCAGCCUCUCAGACAGUCUCAAUCGAAACUCAUCAUAACUAAAUUGUCAAAAAGUAAUUUUUUGAGGAAUCUCUCAUGUUUGAUCUCACACAAACUGCUGCUUUGCCUCAUUGCUGCCAUGCGGUGUAACUGUAUAUUGACUCUCAUCCGAAUGGCUUCAUUUCAGAUCCAUGCAAGUUGUUCCUGAAUAAAUGAUUUUAAGAAUCA
This is a long non-coding RNA of Hippocampus zosterae (dwarf seahorse), 1082 nucleotides long. RefSeq lists it as uncharacterized. The transcript is spliced from 3 exons. The record is from RefSeq and is a predicted model, not a curated record. NCBI's taxonomy places the organism in Eukaryota, Metazoa, Chordata, Actinopteri, Syngnathiformes, Syngnathidae.